UCCAAUCCCGACCGCUCAGGACGGCGGUUCCCCUAGAGUGCCCAACUCCCCGAACGGCAAGCCGUCCGGGUAAUGCGGCAACAAGGGGUGUGGGGUUUCGUCCGUUCCCGGAGUGAACCGGACAUCUCACGACACGGACUGACAACAGCCAUACAACACCUUGUCCACACGCCGGGUCAAAGGGAGUCGGCGACCGCCACCUGUUUCCAGGAGACGGGCCGAUACUCCGGGCGUGCGGACAGCCCUGGUAAGGUUCUUGGGUCAGAGUCCAAUUAAGCCACAUGUUCCGCCGCUUGUGCAGACAUCCCCAGUUCCCAUGAUUUUCAGCCUUGCGGCCGUACUCCACAGGCGGGACACUUAACGCGUAAGCUCCGCCCCGAACCGGUCGGUCCGGCUCAGG
Molecule: unclassified non-coding RNA, 400 nt
Filed under: uncultured bacterium
Lineage: Bacteria
Description: contains 16S-23S intergenic spacer region
Source: RNAcentral